UGUUUUGUCCUUAUCUUAAAUCGGUUGAUAAUCUCUACUGAUGUCUUUGAAUCUUACAGGGUAAUGCUCAUGCCUAUUUAUUUAUUAAUUUUUUUAGUAAGGAGUGUAUGCUUCAACUAAUUUGAUAUUUUCAGAUAGUAUCAAGCUCUCAAGGUUCUUAGAUAUUCAGCUGCAAGGAGGAAGAAAGACAGGUGAACUGUGAGAUCUUGAUUUGUUUGCAGCAGCUCCUGGAUAGGGACAUGGAGAAAUGCAAGAAUUGUAAGCAAAGGAUGCUGAAAAGAAGUUUUCUGAAAUUCCCAAUAUCAUUUGUUUGG
This 314-nucleotide long non-coding RNA is filed under the name Manihot esculenta (cassava). RNAcentral's name for it is "long non-coding RNA (MESC_LNC006232)". The record is from RNAcentral. Lineage: Eukaryota; Viridiplantae; Streptophyta; Magnoliopsida; Malpighiales; Euphorbiaceae.